AGAGUUUGAUCCUGGCUCAGAAUCAACGCUGGCGGCGUGCCUAACACAUGCAAGUCGAACGCGGUUACCCCGCAAGGGGUGACUGAGUGGCGAACGGGUGAGUAACGCGUGGGUGACCUACCUUCGAGUGGGGGAUAACGUCCCGAAAGGGACGCUAAUACCGCAUAACAUCCUGCCUUUGAAUAGGCGGUGAUCAAAGCCGGGGAUCGCAAGACCUGGCGCUUGUUGAGGGGCCCGCGUCUGAUUAGCUAGUUGGUGGGGUAAAAGCCCACCAAGGCGACGAUCUGUAGCUGGUCUGAGAGGACGACCAGCCACACUGGAACUGAGACACGGUCCAGACUCCUACGGGAGGCAGCAGUGGGGAAUUUUGGACAAUGGGCGCAAGCCUGAUCCAGCAAUGCCGCGUGCAGGAUGAAGGCCUUCGGGUUGUAAACUGCUUUUGUACGGAACGAAACGGUCUGCCCUAAUACGGUGGGCUAAUGACGGUACCGUAAGAAUAAGCACCGGCUAACUACGUGCCAGCAGCCGCGGUAAUACGUAGGGUGCGAGCGUUAAUCGGAAUUACUGGGCGUAAAGCGUGCGCAGGCGGUUAUGUAAGACAGAUGUGAAAUCCCCGGGCUCAACCUGGGACCUGCAUUUGUGACUGCAUAGCUAGAGUACGGUAGAGGGGGAUGGAAUUCCCCCGUGUAGCAGUGAAAUGCGUAGAUAUGCGGAGGAACACC
Molecule: ribosomal RNA, 722 nt
Filed under: uncultured bacterium
Lineage: Bacteria
Description: bacterial SSU rRNA
Rfam family: Bacterial small subunit ribosomal RNA
Source: RNAcentral